RNAcentral lists this microRNA precursor (128 nucleotides) under Physcomitrium patens. RNAcentral's name for it is "Physcomitrella patens miR166d stem-loop (ppt-MIR166d)". Its record names the gene ppt-MIR166d. The record is from miRBase by way of RNAcentral. Lineage: Eukaryota; Viridiplantae; Streptophyta; Bryopsida; Funariales; Funariaceae.
CAUAUUAGUCAUAUGCGGCUUGUCCUUGGGGAAUGAUGAUUGGACCGAAGUUUUUUAGCGUUGGUUUGCCCAAUUAAAGCUUCGGACCAGGCUUCAUUCCCCUCGUAGAAGUUGCAUGAUGAUGCAAU